This is a long non-coding RNA of Acinonyx jubatus (cheetah), 954 nucleotides long. RefSeq lists it as uncharacterized. The record is from RefSeq and is a predicted model, not a curated record. The transcript has 3 exons. Lineage: Eukaryota; Metazoa; Chordata; Mammalia; Carnivora; Felidae.
ACAGAGAGAGGGAAAGAAUCCCUGGCGGGUUCCAUACUGUCAGCCUGGAGCCCUCCAUGGGGUUCAAUCCCCCAACCCUGGGAUCAUGACCCGAGCAGAAAUCAAGAGCCAGACGCUCAACCAAAUGGGCCACCCAGGUGCCCCUAUUCCACUUCUUUUUAAAAAAUAAGUUGAGAUAGCUAGUAACUGUAAACUGUAAACAAAUAAACAAACUGUAAACAAAUGCUAAAUGAUUGUUGGAGGUCCCAAGAGGAUGACCAUUGGUUGACCAGCAAGCUGGAUGCAGGCAAUCAGAGACACCUCACCCUCUCCCCUGUCCUUGGAAUGUACAUUCUGCCCAUCAUUCCCACAGAGAAAGCUGUUUCCAGGGACACAGCCUUGAGACAGUAAUGUGUUAUUAAGACCAUCUGGACUGCGUACAUGAUUGAACUCCCUUAAGGCCUUUGUAGAAACUCAAGAUUCUCUGCUGAUGGGUGUGGAGAUCUACUCAUCCUGCAGCAAUACAAGACAAACCUCAUAGUUCAGCCAGAUGGCAUGCCCCAGGUGUGAAGUUUCAAGCAUGAUUCUAUUCAAAUGUCAAAGGUUCCAGAACAAACUCCGCAUACCAGCCACACUGUCUUUGCUCCAGACCUGAAUUCUCUAGGGGGAGCUUGGAUUCCAUCUAGCAAAGUUCAUAAGCAACCCUCCAUCAAACAGAAGUAGGGAUCUCACUGAAUCUCUUUCUACUUUUCAAAAGAAUGUGUGAUAAUAUUCUCCUUUGAAGAAGAGCUUCUGGGUUGCUUUGUGCUGUAUUCUGCCAACACAGAAUAGGUCUGUGCAGAAUGCCUAGCCUUGACCCAGAGCUAUAAGCAUCUCUGUGCUGGAAGCCGAGCUAUCCCAGCCUGAGUGGCAGGGCCCGGGCUGUGGACGGAUUGGUGACUGCAGGGCCGCCACCGACAGUGAAGCUUCUUGUAC